GGCGUAAAGAGUGCGUAGGUGGUACCUAAGCGCAAGGUUUAAUCUUGAGGCUCAACCUCAUCUGCCUUGCGAACUGGGCUACUUGAGUGCAGGAGGGGAAAGCGGAAUUCCCAGUGUAGCGGUGAAAUGCGUAGAUAUUGGGAAGAACACCGGUGGCGAAGGCGGCUUUCUGGACUGUAACUGACACUGAGGCACGAAAGCGUGGGGAGCAAACAGGAUUAGAUACCCUGGUAGUCCACGCCGUAAACGAUGAGCACUAGUUGUUGGGUACGAAUGUAUUCAGUGACGCAGUUAACGCAAUAAGUGCUCCGCCUGGGGAGUACGGUGGCAACACUAAAACUCAAAGGAAUUGACGGGGACCCGCACAAGCAGCGGAGCAUGUGGUUUAAUUCGAAGCAACGCGAAAAACCUUACCAGGGCUUGACAUCCCUCUGACCGGGACUUAACCGUCCCUUUCUUCGGACAGAGGAGACAGGUGGUGCAUGGUUGUCGUCAGCUCGUGUCGUGAGAUGUUGGGUUAAGUCCCGCAACGAGCGCAACCCUUGUCGUCAGUUACUAACAUUAAGUUGAGGACUCUGACGAGACUGCCGAGGUCAACUCGGAGGAAGGUGGGGAUGACGUCAAAUCAUCAUGCCCCUUAUGUUCUGGGCUACACACGUGCUACAAUGGUCGGUACAAUGAGAGGCAAUACAGCGAUGUGGAGCAAAUCACCAAAACCGAUCCCAGUUCGGAUUGCAGGCUGCAACUCGCCUGCAUGAAGUCGGAGUUGCUAGUAAUCGCGAAUCAGCAUGUCGCGGUGAAUGCGUUCCCGGGUCUUGUACUCACCGCCCGU
RNAcentral lists this ribosomal RNA (832 nucleotides) under uncultured bacterium. RNAcentral describes it as "bacterial SSU rRNA". It matches the Rfam family "Bacterial small subunit ribosomal RNA", at positions 557 to 1397 of the family's 1533-position model. The record is from RNAcentral.